CAUUAGAUAACUAAAUUAAUAAGUAUUGGCCUCUUAAGCCGCUAAUAGUAUAACUACUUCUAAUGA
This 66-nucleotide transfer RNA is filed under the name Nothopsyche ruficollis. RNAcentral's name for it is "tRNA-Lys". Lineage: Eukaryota; Metazoa; Arthropoda; Insecta; Trichoptera; Limnephilidae. The record is from RNAcentral.